CAUGCAGUCGAGGGGUAACGAUGUCUUCUGACAGGCGACGACCGGCGCACGGGUGAGUAUCGCGUUUGUAACCUACCUUUAACUGGAGAAUAGCCCGAAGAAAUUCGGAUUAAUACUCCAUAAUACUAUGAUCUGGCAUCUUUUUAUAGUUAAAGCUCCGGCGGUUAAAGAUGGGCAUGCGUAACAUUAGUUUGUUGGUGAGGUAACGGCUCACCAAGACUACGAUGUUUAGGGGGUCUGAGAGGAUGGUCCCCCACACUGGUACUGAGACACGGACCAGACUCCUACGGGAGGCAGCAGUGAGGAAUAUUGGUCAAUGGGCGCAAGCCUGAUCCAGCAAUGCCGCGUGUGUGAAGAAGGCCUGCGGGUUGUAAAGCACUUUCAGUAGAGAAGAAAAGCCUACGGUUAAUAACCGUGAGUCUUGACGUAACCUACAGAAGAAGCACCGGCUAACUCCGUGCCAGCAGCCGCGGUAAUACGGAGGGUGCAAGCGUUAAUCGGAAUUACUGGGCGUAAAGCGCGCGUAGGCGGCUUUGUAAGUCGGAUGUGAAAGCCCUGGGCUUAACCUGGGAAUUGCAUUCGAUACUGCAGAGCUAGAGUAUGGUAGAGGGAAGUGGAAUUCCGGGUGUAGCGGUGAAAUGCGUAGAUAUCCGGAGGAACACCAGUGGCGAAGGCGACUUCCUGGGCCAAUACUGACGCUGAGGUGCGAAAGCGUGGGGAGCAAACAUGAUUAGAUACCCUGGUAGUCCACGCCGUAGACGAUGAGUACUAGAUGUUGGGCAUGCAGUCGCAUGCAGUCGGCAGC
This 805-nucleotide ribosomal RNA is filed under the name uncultured Ectothiorhodospiraceae bacterium. RNAcentral's name for it is "bacterial SSU rRNA". It matches the Rfam family "Bacterial small subunit ribosomal RNA", at positions 54 to 847 of the family's 1533-position model. Lineage: Bacteria; Pseudomonadati; Pseudomonadota; Gammaproteobacteria; Chromatiales; Ectothiorhodospiraceae. The record is from RNAcentral.